This 471-nucleotide ribosomal RNA is filed under the name uncultured bacterium. RNAcentral's name for it is "bacterial SSU rRNA". It matches the Rfam family "Bacterial small subunit ribosomal RNA", at positions 335 to 802 of the family's 1533-position model. The record is from RNAcentral.
ACUCCUACGGGAGGCAGCAGUGGGGAAUAUUGCACAAUGGGGGAAACCCUGAUGCAGCCAUGCCGCGUGUGUGAAGAAGGCCUUCGGGUUGUAAAGCACUUUCAGCGAGGAGGAAAGGGUGUAAGUUAAUACCUUACAUCUGUGACGUUACUCGCAGAAGAAGCACCGGCUAACUCCGUGCCAGCAGCCGCGGUAAGUACGGAGGGUGCGAGCGUUAAUCGGAAUUACUGGGCGUAAAGCGUGCGCAGGCGGUUUGUUAAGCGAGAUGUGAAACGCCCCGGGCUCAACCGUGGAACCGCAUUUCGAACUGGCAAACUAGAGUCUUGUAGAGGGGUAGAAUUCCAGGUGUAGCGGUGAAAUGCGUAGAGAUCUGGAGGAAUACCGGUGGCGAAGGCGGCCCCUGGACAAAGACUGACGCUCAGGCACGAAAGCGUGGGAGCAAACAGGAUUAGAUACCCUGGUAGACUGUCA